UACGAAGGGGGCUAGCGUUGUUCGGAUUUACUGGGCGUAAAGCGCACGUAGGCGGAUCGUUAAGUUGGGGGUGAAAUCCUGGAGCUCAACUCCAGAACUGCCUUCAAUACUGGCGAUCUAGAGUCCGGAAGAGGUGAGUGGAACUCCUAGUGUAGAGGUGGAAUUCGUAGAUAUUAGGAAGAACACCAGUGGCGAAGGCGGCUCUCUGGUCCGGUACUGACGCUGAGGUGCGAAAGCGUGGGGAGCAAACAGG
Molecule: ribosomal RNA, 253 nt
Filed under: uncultured bacterium
Lineage: Bacteria
Description: partial 16S ribosomal RNA
Rfam family: Bacterial small subunit ribosomal RNA
Source: RNAcentral